Molecule: non-coding RNA, 65 nt
Organism: Podarcis lilfordi (Lilford's wall lizard)
Lineage: Eukaryota; Metazoa; Chordata; Lepidosauria; Squamata; Lacertidae
Source: the annotation of a GenBank genome assembly
UCAGCUCAGUGGCAGAGCAUCUGCUCUGCACGCUGAGAUCCCAGGUUCAAUCCCCAGCAUCUCAG